Long non-coding RNA from Mustela erminea (ermine), 3208 nucleotides. RefSeq lists it as uncharacterized. The record is from RefSeq and is a predicted model, not a curated record. The transcript has 4 exons. NCBI's taxonomy places the organism in Eukaryota, Metazoa, Chordata, Mammalia, Carnivora, Mustelidae.
GGCUAGCAGGGCUAUCCAGGUCAUAGAAGACAGUGGAAUGUUGACAGAAAGAACUCCCCUGGGCCUGGGGAAGGAGCCUCAGGAUGGCUUCCAAGGUUUCUCUGCUGUUAGACGAUAGGGAGUGAGUGACCUGUGACCCACCCUCGUGAAGAGAAACCUCUGGAUGGAGAGGCCAAGAGGGGUCAGAGUUCCCCGAGGGACAGGCUGGGUGCCCAGCACAUGCCCGCGGUGGCGAGUGGGGCCGCAGGUGGGCAGCCCUGGGAGAUGGGCACGCCCGCCUGGCUCCCUGGAGCCCUGGUCUGGGGCUUGGAUAUUAUUCCACAUGCUGCGUCUGCAUUUUUGGGCUGCGCAGUGGAAGCCAAAGCCUCAGAAAUGAGCUGGCACCUUCCUUUCUCUUGGCGCCUCUAACCACAAGCACAUCAGUCUCUGUUGUUUACCAGAGGCCAGAAGGGCGCCUUCUGUGGCAUCUUGGACCCCGGUUCUGGCGAAGAUGUUUGUUGGAAACAGGGAGGGAGCUUCCACAGCGCUCCCUGGCAGUGUGGCCAUCCACGCAGCCUUAUGCAUCUGUGGGGUGUUGCCCUGCAUUCUGGGGGUGUCUGCUCAGUGGUGUAAAGCUGGAAAAAUGUGCCCGGGCUGCGGAGACACCGGAUGACAGAGCAUACUCACAGGUGCAGGGGUGCGGCAGAAGCAUGGCUGGGGUCAGAGUGCGCCACCGGGGAGAGCUAUCUCCUGUCCUGCUCCAGUCCGCCUCGCCUGGAUUAGCCCGGACCUGACGCAGGAUCAGCUGUCCUUGCCCCACAUCCUCAGGCAGCAGAGUUGAAAUGUCAGUUGAAAUGUCCUUCCUUACCACAAAGAGCAUGUCUUGUGUUACAGAUAGGUUUGUGUAAGCCACGUUUUCCAUCCAAGAGUGCCAGGGAGGGGUGGGGCUUGAGCCUCUGCAGGGGAGCUGGGGGUAAGACAGUGAGGGGCAGAGGAGUCUACCACGGGUGUCCUGGGAACGUCUGUCCCCUUUCCUGGAGUCCUGGCUGAGCCUUGGACCUCAGGAGACCGUCUCAGAGAAGGCCAGGAGCCCUGGACUGUGGUCCCCAGCUCAGAAAGACAGGAGACAGAUGAGAUGACCUGGUCGGAGCUGCAGGUGUGGCAGUCAUCAGCUGCGUGAACUUGGACAACUCCCUUGACCUUGGGUUCCAUUUCUAUAAGCUGGGGCGGCAGCUCCUCCCCUGUUCCUCUGGUUAGCACCAAGACAACCCGUGUUCUCCCUCCCUGAAAGACUGUAGGCAGUGAAUAGAUCUCGAAGGUCCUUGACUCGAAUAACCAAUAUCCGUGGAGGGCGUCUGUGGGCCGGGCAUCAUUCAGAUGCUUCUAUCUGCGCAUAGUCCACAAACUCUCCCCACAACCCCGUGGCACAGGGGCUAUCCCUCUUCUUUUUUACAGGGGGGCCACCCAGGCAGAAAGCUGAGAGAGGAGGCGCCAGUGCUUGAAGGUGGGCAGCCUGGCCUCGAGUCGGAGUUGCUGGGCGCCGUCCCACCGGUUGGUGGGUGAGUGACAGCACAUCCUGGAGGCCUCCGCUGGUGCAAAGGGAAAAGGACAUCCCAGAUCUUCCGAACUCUCGGAGCUCUCCGUGGACGGAACCGUCAGUGUUUCUCUCUCCACCUCCUUCUCCUCUUCGGCUUUCUUCAAGCUUCCAAGAUGGAUUUUUGAUCUUUUUGUGUUUUAUUCCUUGGAGGGCAAGCUCCCAGCUGAGGAAGAAUGUUGGCUCUGUCCUCAUGGCUUCAAAAUGGUUGCUCCAACUCCAGCCUCUGGUCUGCGUCCCAGUCAGAAAGAAGAACGAGGCAUUCAUUCUGGUUCAGAAGGGAAGCCUGCCUUUGCCUGAUGUCUUGUUGGCUAGAAUGACAGUGAAUGGUCACCCCUAUCUUCAGCGGGAUCUGGGAAAUAAACUAUUUUAGCUCCCUAGACUCAUCAGCAAGGGGAAGGCAAUUGUGGGUGCCUUUAGGUAACAUAUCUCCCCAUGCUGGGCCUUACAGAGGAUGUAUCUAAAAUGCUAACUCCAGUGCCUGACACAGAUUAAGUGCCUGAGGAGGGAACAUUUCAUCCUUAUUAGCUAAAUUCACUAAGGAAUGAAUUUUAAAAAGGGGAAGGAUUAAUACCUUACAGUGCAAAUGAGGCCUUAGUAAAUAGAUGUCCUUCUAGUUCUUCUCUUGGCUUCCACUGGCUGGCGUGGGGCUGCUCUCGUGUCUCCCAUCUCAGACAAAGCUUCCACUGAAAUCCCCAGCAUGGGGGGCCAUUCUGAGCCCCCACCCCUCUUCCUGGGCUCUCUGCAGACUGGACGCUUUGUGCUGCCUGGAGAAACUUGGCUUUGCACACCAGUUACAAAACAACUGGAGAGUGUGUUAGGCCAGGGGAAGGCUGGAUUGCCCUCAGACCUAUCAAUGAGAAACGGGGUUCACCUGCACAUUUGUAUCCCGCCCUGAUUUAAUUGAUGAUGUCACCGUGGAGACCCUGAGGCAUAUUCCUUUCAGCCUCCGGACUUCUCCAGAAAGCCACCAUUCUGUUCUACAUGGUCUUGUUUUUAAGCGUAUUUUUAAAAAAAUGUGUUCAUCCAGAUAGAACCCAGAAUUCAUGAUAAAUUCAUGAUUACAUCGCGGGUGUUUACCGCAGUAAGUUUUCUUUGGGCUCCUGAUUGUUUACUGCCUGGGGUAGAUUAUGCAUGCAGCAGGUUAAGGAAGGAAAUUCAUUAAUUUCACAGCUAACCACAGGUCUCACCGUGCAGCUCGCACCUCACCUCCAACCUGUCUCAGCAGCUAAUGAACCUGAACCUCAAACUGGGAACCAUUCUUCUGGAACUUGAACGGAGGUGCCAACGACCUCCGGACAGCGCGGAGGCAUUGAUCUGUGUGUCUCCCCCUGAGCAGGCUCUGAUGAUGGCAGCUUGUGAUUAACUCUAGGACAGAAGGGGGUUGAGUUGAGUAACAACCCCUUGGAAAGUGGGAAUUAAAAAGAUCCUUCUGCCUAGCCUCCCCUGCUUUGUGCGCCCAGCUCACAAAUCACAGGCUCGGGUGCCCGGCCAUCAACACCGCUGAGGGAGACGGGGCGGCUGGGUUUUGACGGCAGACUUGGUUGAUGCUUGGACUGAGGGUGUCAUCAAUCUUGGAACUUUUGGAAAGCUGUAUGGAUUUUGUUGGGGGAGGAGACAAGCUAUAUUUGUAGG